AUACGUAGGGGGCAAGCGUUGUCCGGAAUUAUUGGGCGUAAAGCGCGCGCAGGCGGCUGUUUAAGUCUGGUGUUUAAGGCAAGAGCUUAACUCUUGUUCGCAUCGGCAACUGGGCAGCUUGAGUGUAGGAGAGGAAAGUGGAAUUCCACGUGUAGCGGUGAAAUGCGUAGAGAUGUGGAGGAACACCAGUGGCGAAGGCGACUUUCUGGCCUAUAACUGACGCUGAGGCGCGAAAGCGUGGGGGGCAAACAGGAUUAGAUACCCUGGUAGUCCACGCCGUAAACGAUGAAUGCUAGGUGUUAGGGGUUUCGAUACCCGUGGUGCCGAAGUAAACACAUUAAGCAUUCCGCCUGGGGAGUACGUUCGCAAGAAUGAA
This 376-nucleotide ribosomal RNA is filed under the name uncultured bacterium. Its description in RNAcentral is "bacterial SSU rRNA". It matches the Rfam family "Bacterial small subunit ribosomal RNA", at positions 523 to 898 of the family's 1533-position model. The record is from RNAcentral.